This 259-nucleotide ribosomal RNA is filed under the name uncultured bacterium. RNAcentral's name for it is "partial 16S ribosomal RNA". It matches the Rfam family "Bacterial small subunit ribosomal RNA", at positions 95 to 353 of the family's 1533-position model. The record is from RNAcentral.
CCGGCGCACGGGUGAGUAACACGUAUCCAACCUGCCGUCUACUCUUGGACAGCCUUCUGAAAGGAAGAUAAUACAAGAUGGCAUCAUGAGUCCGCAUGUUCACAUGAUUAAAGGUAUUCCGGUAGACGAUGGGGAUGCGUUCCAUUAGAUAGUAGGCGGGGUAACGGCCCACCUAGUCUUCGAUGGAUAGGGGUUCUGAGAGGAAGGUCCCCCACAUUGGAACUGAGACACGGUCCAAACUCCUACGGGAGGCAGCAUG